UUGUCAGUGUCUGUAAUAGUAGUUAGCUAAAGUUAGCUAGCUAGCUACCUUAGCUAGCUUAGUCUAACACUUCUUCUGGACUGUCUCAGACACUAUUUCACUUGUUAGCUACAUUAGCUAGCUAUGUUACCAUAGCUAGAGUUCACUUAUUCUCCAUCUGGGUUAAUUUAACCAAGCUAUUUGGCAGGAUUAUAUCAUGAUUGCAUGGUGAUUGAUUGAGUUAGCUAGAGUCACUGUACUGGUUUUCAAUGGUUUCUGACAGUGGCAGCUUUAGUCGGACUUGUGAAGUUGAGGAGGAUGGAUGCAAAUUCUGUUAGCUAGCUAACGUUAGAGUUUACCUUAAUUUUGAUGUAGCCAAGUUAGUUUAGCUAGCUAGCUAUGUUUCUAACAUUUAUUUAUUUCUGUACUUAAAUGCAGAGGUCAAGGCCAAUGAAUGGACAGCUUUGUAAAGAUACACUGAAUGAGUGGAACCUGGCCUCUGAUUCCAAAGUUUGAGGCAGAAGAGAUGAACCAGAAAACGCUCUUGCUUUUGGACGAUUCGACUACAGCCUGAAGUUAAAGAACAACAUAAAAGCCUUACACGCAUCGAAUGUGAGAGACGGCAGCCCAGAUGACCAAGUGGCUGAACAACAUCUGGCCGGCAAACCAGGUUGCGGAGUACAUGAAGGAGACCACGAUCCAGAGGGCUCAGUGGACCAGACAGAAUGGGGCCAAGACAGUCGAGAUAGUCCGAGAGUAUCCAUGAGACUCCAGGCAUGAUUGCUCUGGACUUCUCCAUUUAAAACCCGGACUACACGGGGAAACUCACUGGAAACUCACUGGAUCGCAGUCUUCAAGGACAAAAAGCCUUCGCUUCGCCAGCCCAGAGAGAAGCAGGCCCCCAAUUUGAAAUGACCCUGCUGGUGGUGCCUCGGAUGCAUUUAUUUUUAGCCUGAAACAAUCACGUUUUUCACUAAACAUUAUUUUCUGCAAUAUUUACCUGGAGCUAACCCUGCAGAUAGCAUUACUGGGUGAUCUGAAAAGUCAUA
This is a long non-coding RNA of Coregonus clupeaformis (lake whitefish), 1028 nucleotides long. RefSeq lists it as uncharacterized. Lineage: Eukaryota; Metazoa; Chordata; Actinopteri; Salmoniformes; Salmonidae. The record is from RefSeq and is a predicted model, not a curated record. The transcript is spliced from 4 exons.